ACGAACGCUGGCGGCGUGCCUAAUACAUGCAAGUCGAGCGAGCGGAACUAACAGAUUUACUUCGGUAAUGACGUUAGGAAAGCGAGCGGCGGAUGGGUGAGUAACACGUGGGGAACCUGCCCCAUAGUCUGGGAUACCACUUGGAAACAGGUGCUAAUACCGGAUAAGAAAGCAGAUCGCAUGAUCAGCUUUUAAAAGGCGGCGUAAGCUGUCGCUAUGGGAUGGCCCCGCGGUGCAUUAGCUAGUUGGUAAGGUAAAGGCUUACCAAGGCGAUGAUGCAUAGCCGAGUUGAGAGACUGAUCGGCCACAUUGGGACUGAGACACGGCCCAAACUCCUACGGGAGGCAGCAGUAGGGAAUCUUCCACAAUGGACGCAAGUCUGAUGGAGCAACGCCGCGUGAGUGAAGAAGGUUUUCGGAUCGUAAAGCUCUGUUGUUGGUGAAGAAGGAUAGAGGUAGUAACUGGCCUUUAUUUGACGGUAAUCAACCAGAAAGUCACGGCUAACUACGUGCCAGCAGCCGCGGUAAUACGUAGGUGGCAAGCGUUGUCCGGAUUUAUUGGGCGUAAAGCGAGCGCAGGCGGAAGAAUAAGUCUGAUGUGAAAGCCCUCGGCUUAACCGAGGAACUGCAUCGGAACUGUUUUUCUUGUGUGCAGAAGAGGAGAGUGGAACUCCAUGUGUAGCGGUGGAAUGCGUAGAUAUAUGGAAGAACACCAGUGGCGAAGGCGGCUCUCUGGUCUGCAACUGACGCUGAGGCUCGAAAGCAUGGGUAGCGAACAGGAUUAGAUACCCUGGUAGUCCAUGCCGUAAACGAUGAGUGCUAAGUGUUGGGAGGUUUCCGCCUCUCAGUGCUGCAGCUAACGCAUUAAGCACUCCGCCUGGGGAGUACGACCGCAAGGUUGAAACUCAAAGGAAUUGACGGGGGCCCGCACAAGCGGUGGAGCAUGUGGUUUAAUUCGAAGCAACGCGAAGAACCUUACCAGGUCUUGACAUCUAGUGCCAUUUGUAGAGAUACAAAGUUCCCUUCGGGGACGCUAAGACAGGUGGUGCAUGGCUGUCGUCAGCUCGUGUCGUGAGAUGUUGGGUUAAGUCCCGCAACGAGCGCAACCCUUGUUAUUAGUUGCCAGCAUUAAGUUGGGCACUCUAAUGAGACUGCCGGUGACAAACCGGAGGAAGGUGGGGAUGACGUCAAGUCAUCAUGCCCCUUAUGACCUGGGCUACACACGUGCUACAAUGGGCAGUACAACGAGAAGCGAGCCUGCGAAGGCAAGCGAAUCUCUGAAAGCUGUUCUCAGUUCGGACUGCAGUCUGCAACUCGACUGCACGAAGCUGGAAUCGCUAGUAAUCGCGGAUCAGCACGCCGCGGUGAAUACGUUCCCGGGCCUUGUACACACCGCCCGUCACACCAUGGGAGUCUGCAAUGCCCAAAGCCGGUGGCCUAACCUUCGGGAAGGAGCCGUCUAAGGCAGGGCAGAUGACUGGGGUGAAGUCGUAACAAGGUAACCGUAAAGGGCGA
Molecule: ribosomal RNA, 1514 nt
Filed under: uncultured bacterium
Lineage: Bacteria
Description: bacterial SSU rRNA
Rfam family: Bacterial small subunit ribosomal RNA
Source: RNAcentral